RNAcentral lists this ribosomal RNA (217 nucleotides) under uncultured bacterium. RNAcentral's name for it is "partial 16S ribosomal RNA". It matches the Rfam family "Bacterial small subunit ribosomal RNA", at positions 1286 to 1500 of the family's 1533-position model. The record is from RNAcentral.
UCCCAGUUCGGAUUGUAGUCUGCAACCCGACUACAUGAAGCUGGAAUCGCUAGUAAUCGCGGAUCAGAAUGCCGCGGUGAAUACGUUCCCGGGUCUUGUACACACCGCCCGUCACACCAUGGGAGUCAGUAACGCCCGAAGCCGGUGACCCAACCUAACAAGGAGGGAGCCGUCGAAGGCGGGACGGAUGACUGGGGUGAAGUCGUAACAAGGUAUC